RNAcentral lists this long non-coding RNA (1733 nucleotides) under Triticum aestivum (bread wheat). RNAcentral's name for it is "long non-coding RNA (TAES_LNC026777)". The record is from RNAcentral. Lineage: Eukaryota; Viridiplantae; Streptophyta; Magnoliopsida; Poales; Poaceae.
AAGUGCAGUAUGACGGUGAUCUCUGAACAGUUGCAAGGAGGCUAAUAACAUGUUAGCUCCUCUUAAUAUCUUGGUUGAUGCCAUCUGUCAGAUUUAGCCCACCGAGUUCCUAUUUUGCAUUUACUUUGCUUCUCUAAAGUUCUCUUCGUGCUGCAAGGAAGACGCGAGGGUUAGUUGCAUUCCUGCUGCCUUGCUUGAGAUGAAUCCAUUUGGUUAUUUUGCCUUUAAAUUCUAUAACACACCAUCGUAUCUAUUGGUAGGUGUCAUUCUGCUUCUCCUUGCAUGUCUAUUUGUGCGCUUGGGUUGCAGAUCAGGUUAGUAACACAUGGGAUCGUAUAGUUAUUCUAUUACUCAAGGCCCACCAUGGUGGUCAUUAUAUCCCUGGGUUAAGCAAGCUGAGCAUGUUAUGCAAGCUAUCGUGUGAGAUGCGCAUGCAUCACUGCCUAAAAAAGGGUCCAGACAGCAACGACAAGUGCUUACUAUGCUCCAUUAAAGCAGCUAAGAAGAUAAUUUAGUUUGGGUGAAUUUAUUAAUUUAUUAAUUAGCUUGAAGAAGAAAAAUAUUUCAGAACAGUGUCGUCAUAGAGUUAUGUUCAGUUUGGUGCUUUGGGUCAUUCUGGAUAAGUGAUUGGGUAGCGGUUGCUGUUUACUCGCAAGGGAUGGAUUGGUGCAAGUGAGUUUAUGAAAGCCUACUGGAACUGUUUGUGGAAGUAGUUGUAUGAACAUGUUGUGUGCAACUGAACUGAUCUGAUUGCUUAUCUUUGGAAAUCUUCACAUGAUGUGUUGUGCAUUGGUCUGCAUUAUAUUACUCUUAUAUUUUUAUUUCUCUUUUAUGAUAAUUUAAGGUGAAAACAGAGUAUUUAUAAUUGUGACAUGGACUACAUACUUUUCCUAAGUUUUUAGGUGUGAUGGUGGUGGUGUGACCACAGAUUUAUAUGUCUGGAUUAAGUUGAUAGGCCUGCUGUGUUUCAGGCGUGGUGUUCUUCCUUCAAUAUAUUGGCAGAUGCUUGCUUCUGUUAAUUAAAGCUUCAAUCUUAGGAGGUACUGCCCUGUGCUUGAAUGCAGUUGUCUUUGUUUAGACAGCAGCCGAGCCCAGUCAACAAUUAUUAGUAGUAGUUACGAGAUAAGGUAGAGGAGGCAUAUAGGGCCAGCCGUCGUAUAUGCAAUGCAUGAAAGUCGUUGUUGAUUCCAUUCAAGUAACGAAUAAAUAGUAGUUGCUAAUUCUAUUCAUAGUGAUUACAACCAUAGGUAAAUGUAUGCUUCUAACUUUCAUAUGCAUGCUUCCCAGUGUACAUACGUGCGAGUUCAUCUUCGCCCUAGAUGCCUGUGGCUUCUCUCUUUUGGUGCAGUUUACAAAUAGAAUGCUAAGGCAAGUUUAAUUUCUAAUGUGCAUGUAAAUCCUUGAGAUUUUUGGUGUUUAUGAAGAUCCAAUAAACAAAGAGUUGAAUGAUAUGAAAGGGGAAAUAGACAGAAGAGUGAAAAAUAUGUGGUUGCAGUGCUGAUGAAUUUUAGGAUCUGAAGCUACUGCUUAUGGAUACCAAUAUUACAUUAGCAUUUGGUAUUUAGAUCUGCUUGUUUUUACCUCUUUGCCUAUAAGCUCUAUAGAGAAACAUUUAUUCUCUGUUUGGACUUUGAUUUCUGAAUUUGGUUCCUUGCUGAAGAAAUAGCUGAAGCUUUGCUUUCUUAAAAAAAGUAAAGCUUUGCUGCUGCACACUAUUUUCUUGCCUUUCCUUG